CAUGUCCGGCGCGGUCGGCGUGCAAUUCUCCCCUAGUAGGACGUCGCGACCCGCUGGGUGUCGACCGACGGCCCGCGAGGUAGCCUGGAGCGUCGUGCGUUCNCGUGCGCGUUCCAGACCCGCGAGUGCCCGGCUCGACUGCCCGGCGGUAGUGAUCGAUGAAUGGUAUGGGGUCGCACGCUCUAUUGCGAUGCGUUUUGGCCCGUCCACAGACUGACCCCGCUUGGCCUACGGACCUGGUGCCNUUGCCGAGCGCUCGGUCGGUCNCAUUCUACGGCGUCCUCGAACGGGCCCUGCUUUAAAACAUACCUGUCGGCGACGCUACUGCUUUGGGUACUUUCAGGACCCNUCUUGAAACACGGACCAAGGAGUCUAACAUGUGCGCGAGUCAUUGGGACUGGAAACAAAGCCUACAGGCGCNAUGAAAGUGAAGGUCCGCUUUACGCGCGACCGAGGGAGGAUGGCUCCCGCCACGACGCGGAGUCCGCACUCCCGGGGCGUCUCGUGCUCAUCACGAGCUGAGGCGCACCCAGAGCGUACACGUUGGGACCCGAAAGAUGGUGAACUAUGCCUGGUCAGGACGAAGUCAGGGGAAACCCUGAUGGAGGUCCGUAGCGAUUCUGACGUGCAAAUCGAUCGUCGGAACUGGGUAUAGGGGCGAAAGACUAAUCGAAC
Molecule: ribosomal RNA, 675 nt
Filed under: Megaphragma sp.
Lineage: Eukaryota; Metazoa; Arthropoda; Insecta; Hymenoptera; Trichogrammatidae
Description: partial large subunit ribosomal RNA
Rfam family: Eukaryotic large subunit ribosomal RNA
Source: RNAcentral